Molecule: long non-coding RNA, 1887 nt
Organism: Bombyx mori (domestic silkworm)
Lineage: Eukaryota; Metazoa; Arthropoda; Insecta; Lepidoptera; Bombycidae
Exons: 6
Source: RefSeq, a predicted model, not a curated record
ACUGUGGGAAUAUCACGACAUUCAGAAAUUAAAUUAUUUGUCUUGUUAACUGCCAAACAUCAAAUUAUGCUUUAUUAAGAUAAUAUUAUGCUUCUCUCAAUACUCCCAUCUAGUCAUACCUUUACCACUUUUGAAAAUAAAUGUACAUUUCAGGCUUAAAAAAUAUGUGUAUAUUUUUGCAGCAAAGCAUAUUCCCUUUAAAUGCAGACCAUAAAUUUCAUCUAAUGGAAAAUGGUGUAUGAGUGUUCUGUGCAAGUAUGACAUGAUUGUGUAUAUCAUUUUAAGCAGCACACCUGCUGCAACUUUUUAUUCAAAAUUUGAGAAGACCUUUCAGAGGCAGGCAGUUGCUAGUCUGUGCUCUGGGAAUUGCUGAUUUCCCAGAACUACUGUGACCAGUCACUAUAAGGUUAAUUGUUUGCCCAUCUGUCUACAAAAUAACACCAAUUUAAGGUCCCCAUCGUGCAAGACAUUGCCAACUGGAAAUAGCGUUGGAUAGGCCACACGACGGAGCAGCAGAAUCAAUGCAGCAUCGAUCGCGUUUGAGGGGCCACUGCGUAGUAGGUUAAAACUGUUGAGGAAUAAGAUAAUAAUUUUAUAAAUAACUGGGUCUACUGUAUGUAAUAAAUAAGGUACAGAUAUAGGAAAAGGAAUACUAAGUGAUGAUAAAGAACUAUAAAGAAGUGAAUGAUCAAAAAGGGGACAUGAAAGAAUAAUGUGAUUUAAAUCGCCAAUGUCCGCACCGCACUCACACUUACUGCUAUCCAGCACUCCGAUCGUCGCUAGAUGUGCCGGACUACACGUGUGGCCUAAUCUCAUCCGUAUCAAACUGGAAGUCUCGUGGCGUUUAAAAUUAUAUUUGUAGAACCAUGGUUUGGAAGGAAUGGUUUCUACAGUCUAAGAGAAUAGGGUAAAUCGGUUGAGAUUUAAAAGGAAAUUUUGCAAGAGCCUGUAAAGAACUCUUUGAAUCGGGAUUUGAAAACGAAUUUAUCAGAUAAAUAUUGACGUCUCAAAUGAAGAGGAGGAUCAACACAUUCUACCUGUAAUGCUGUAACAGGACUAGAUUUCAUGGCUCCAGUGAUAAUUCUGAGUGACUUAGACUGUAUAGUGUCUAGUUUUUUGAAAGCAUUCACAUCCCCUGGUUGAAGUAAAAAAGUACCAUAAUCUAAAACUGAUCUUACUAUGGCAUUAUAUAAAAGUUUUAAAUUGAAUGGGUGGGCACCCCACCAUACACCGGCAAGAGAACAAAUUAAUUCAUUCUCAUACAAUAUACUAAUUGGAGGAAGAGAACGUUUUCUAGAGAAUACAACAAUAGAACUUUUGGAGGCAGAAAGGGAAAGUCCAUUAUUAUCUAACCAAGAUUUAAGAGUUAGAAAUGAAUUCCUAAGGGAUAAGCAAGCUUUAUGUAUGUCUUUAUUGCAAGUGUACAUAAGGAGGUCAUCAGCAUAUUGAAGAAUUCUUACUUGAUUUCCAAGGGUCUCUUCCAAAUCACAAGUGUAUAUAUUGUAUAAAAUUGGACUUAACACAGAUCCUUGAGGAAGACCUCUCCAUAAAGUUCUAGAUUGUUGUGAAUCUGAAGAGGUAGAGUUUAAAAUGAUAGUUCGAUUUGACAUUAUAGUAAUAAUCAAGUUAGCAAGUCUAACAGGAACCCUUAUUUUCUGUAAUUUGUAAAGCAGUGUAGGAAUAUGUACAUUAUCAUAUGCAGCGGAAAUAUCCAGAAAUCCAGCUACAAUAGAUUCAGAGUUUGAGAAAGCUACCAAAAUAUCCACUAUAAAGAUAGCAAGAUUGUCCAUUGUGCUUUUACCCCUUCUAAAUCCGUUUUGACUGUCACUGAGUAAACUGUUACUUUCCACAAACCAUUCUAGUCUAAUUUUAAUUAAAUGUUCUAAA